This 253-nucleotide ribosomal RNA is filed under the name uncultured bacterium. Its description in RNAcentral is "partial 16S ribosomal RNA". It matches the Rfam family "Bacterial small subunit ribosomal RNA", at positions 524 to 776 of the family's 1533-position model. The record is from RNAcentral.
UACAGAGGUGGCAAGCGUUGUUCGGAAUUACUGGGCGUAAAGGGCGCGUAGGCGGCCGCCUAAGUCAGACGUGAAAUCCCCAGGCUUAACCUGGGAACUGCGUCUGAUACUGGGUGGCUUGAGUUCGGGAGAGGAAUGUGGAAUUCCAGGUGUAGCGGUGAAAUGCGUAGAUAUCUGGAGGAACACCGGUGGUGUAGACGGCUUUCUGGACCGUAACUGACGCUGAGACACGAAAGCGUGGGUAGCAAACAGG